AGAGCGAACGCUGGCGGCAUGCUUAACACAUGCAAGUCGCACGGGCAGGGGCAACCCUGUCAGUGGCGGACGGGUGAGUAACGCGUAGGUAUCUAUCCUUGGGUGGGGGACAACUGUGGGAAACUACAGCUAAUACCGCAUGAUAACUGAGGUUUAAAGGCGCAAGUCGCCUGGGGAGGAGCCUGCGUACGAUUAGCUUGUUGGUGGGGUAAAGGCCUACCAAGGCGACGAUCGUUAGCUGGUCUGAGAGGAUGAUCAGCCACAUUGGGACUGAGACACGGCCCAAACUCCUACGGGAGGCAGCAGUGGGGAAUAUUGGACAAUGGGCGCAAGCCUGAUCCAGCAAUGCCGCGUGUGUGAAGAAGGUCUUCGGAUUGUAAAGCACUUUCGACGGGACGAUGAUGACGGUACCCGUAGAAGAAGCCCCGGCUAACUUCGCGCCAGCAGCCGC
RNAcentral lists this ribosomal RNA (451 nucleotides) under uncultured bacterium. Its description in RNAcentral is "SSU rRNA". It matches the Rfam family "Bacterial small subunit ribosomal RNA", at positions 26 to 518 of the family's 1533-position model. The record is from RNAcentral.